GAUCAUGGCUCAGGACGAACGCUGGCGGCGUGCUUAACACAUGCAAGUCGAACGAGAGGACAAGAGAAGCUUGCUUCUUUUGAAAUCGAGUGGCAAACGGGUGAGUAACACGUAAACAACCUGCCUUCAGGAUGGGGACAACAGACGGAAACGACUGCUAAUACCGAAUACGCUUGGGAGACCGCAUGAUCUUCCAGGGAAAGGGUGGCCUCUACCUGUAAGCUAUCGCCUGAAGAGGGGUUUGCG
This 246-nucleotide ribosomal RNA is filed under the name uncultured bacterium. Its description in RNAcentral is "partial 16S ribosomal RNA". It matches the Rfam family "Bacterial small subunit ribosomal RNA", at positions 15 to 235 of the family's 1533-position model. The record is from RNAcentral.